This is a non-coding RNA of Punica granatum (pomegranate), 830 nucleotides long. Lineage: Eukaryota; Viridiplantae; Streptophyta; Magnoliopsida; Myrtales; Lythraceae. The record is from RefSeq and is a predicted model, not a curated record.
GGUCCCUAUUGCGUUGUGUCCUAAUUUUGAUAGCUCGCCAUAAUUUUGAUUGCAGUAACAUUUCGAUGAGAGAGGGAGGGGAUGAUGAGAAGAGGGAAUGAGCAAAGGAGUUGAGGGUGCAGAAGAAAGUCGAGCAACCUAUCACCUUCAAGAUGAGUUUACAUUCGCAUCGCUCGCACUUCCAUUACUGCAAAUGCCAUGAUUAGUAUGAUAAUUUCUCUACAAAUCUUGAUCAAGCCUCAUCAACCUCCAACUACAGUUGUUCGAGCAUGGACAGAGGCGAUUCGACCAUGAAUAGAGGUGCCCCUUUUGGAAUGAUGAUGCAAGGAAGUGCAAGUAUUUUUAGUGGGAGGAUGAGUUAUAUAUCAGUAGAAGCUUGUCCCAAGAACAGAAGAUAAUUAGUAAGUUAAGAAAGAAUUUAGAGAGGAGAGAGAUGUAGCUAAAGAGAUGGAGGUAUUUGUCUUUGGUUUUAGUUAUGACAAUGGUUGUAUUAGGGUGGUUGAUUAUGAUGAAAUGAAGUGUGAUUGUCUAUGUAAUUUUUGUGUAUAACCGCCGACAUUGGGAGAGAGAGUAUGGUGGCCUGGACUGGACUGUUAAGGAGUUGCUCUUUGUCUGAUGAUUAAUGUAAUUCCUCUGGUUAAGGAAUGAUCUGUAGUUGUAAUGCAAAUGAUGAAUUUGGUUGGAUCUGUGGACUGGAUUGUGGUUAUUAUUGUUUGGUCGUUGUUAAACGUGGGAAUAUUCCAUGUUCAAGUGGUAGGCUUGCUCUUGUAAUCAUUUGGUCAAUCAUACAUAUAUGCAUAAACAAGACCAUCAUGUUAUAUGUACAUACA